GCUUGCUUCAGCACACAUACACUAAACUUGAAGCAAUACAGAGAAGAUUAGCAUCGUCCUGUGCAAGGACGACAUGAAAAUUCCUGAAGUGUAUCAUACUUUU
Small nuclear RNA from Hyaena hyaena (striped hyena), 103 nucleotides. The record is from RefSeq and is a predicted model, not a curated record. NCBI's taxonomy places the organism in Eukaryota, Metazoa, Chordata, Mammalia, Carnivora, Hyaenidae.